AAGAAUACGAAGCCGUGAAUACACAUGUGGCUAUCAGGAGAGGUUAUUUCAGAGCAGCUUUCUCUAUCCUGGGGGACUCAUGCAUGAGAGGCCAAGGUGUGGAAGGGUCAAGGACAAGGCGGCUGUGAAAAAAUGCCAGACAAGUGUGACGCUGAGAAGCAGCAAAGCUUCUUGGGUAACAGAAGGGGACGGACGGAUGGAGGGAUGGAUCACAGAGGGGUUAAGAUGGGACAUGGAGAAGGAAUCUGAAACAGUGACCUUGCUGUCGAACAGUGAAGGAAAUGGGGUACAUCUUGUCACGCGGUGAGGAGGCCAUUGGAAGUCUACUUUGUUGGCUUUUGAAAGGGCCACGAUGGGUGCGGAGAUAAGCACAACACAGUGGGAGGAGAGGAGUCCUUACCUCGGGAAAAUGAAAAGGCCCGUCUGAUGGAAAUGUGAUGGCGAGAGCGCUAAGGACACCACACAAAUUAUUUUUUAUCAGAGAUCAGCUUCACAGAGGGUGCAGGUGGGGAGGUACCCCAUAGAACUCCUCCCCGAUUGACAGUCACGGAAUUGUUCUUUUCUCUAGCCUAUGUAAACAACUAACAGAAAAUGUACUGUUUGUGUUGCUUUUUACUAAACUCAUAACCUCUGAUAUAGUUUGCAAUGCACUCUUUACUCUUGGGUUAUAAACUAUAUAACGUGUAAAUAAAAUUGAUUACUAUUAUUGUUGUUGUUGUUACUGUUGCUUUAUAUUAAUUAUAUUCAUUUGUUUGCAUAUUCAUUGUCACUUUUGGUGCUAUCAGGAUAACUCGGUGACAAACAAAGACAACAAACUGGGAAAAACAAAUUACUCCCCCUCACUACCCUGUAGAAGUACCUCAACUUUCUGAAGAGAGUUCACCAAAAAGAAAAAAAAAACA
Clupea harengus (Atlantic herring) is the source of this 902-nucleotide long non-coding RNA. RefSeq lists it as uncharacterized. The transcript is spliced from 3 exons. NCBI's taxonomy places the organism in Eukaryota, Metazoa, Chordata, Actinopteri, Clupeiformes, Clupeidae. The record is from RefSeq and is a predicted model, not a curated record.